GCGGGUGUGCCGGAGCGGUCAAACGGGCAGGACUUAAGAUCCUGUGGCUUAGUGCCUGCAGAGGUUCAAUUCCUCUCACCCGCA
RNAcentral lists this transfer RNA (84 nucleotides) under Candidatus Pacearchaeota archaeon. RNAcentral's name for it is "tRNA-Leu". It matches the Rfam family "tRNA". From Rfam's summary of the family: Transfer RNA (tRNA) molecules are approximately 80 nucleotides in length. Their secondary structure includes four short double-helical elements and three loops (D, anti-codon, and T loops). Lineage: Archaea; Nanobdellati. The record is from RNAcentral.